CUCCCUCUGUACCUUGCCCAAAACAGGAAAGGAAAAGUCACGAGCGGAGGAGAACGAGAGAGAGAGGAGCAAGCAUCCCAGUUCUUGGUCCCCAUUCUGUACAAGAGGGAGAGCGAGCAGACAGAGUUCUUUAACCCCCGUUCCGUGCGAGAGGUGGUUCUUUCUCUACACUGACUAGUCCUCUCCUUUCUCCCACGCCGCAAUCAACGCAGGCGAGAUCGGCGACGCUCGGAGCGAGGCGGCGGCCGGCGACAUGAGCGACAUGGCUGAAAGGCGGGAGCUGCGCGCAAGAGCCGUCACGACGAGCGGCGCCAUCGCAAAAGCCGCCACGACGAGCACCGGCACCGCGAGAGCCGCCACGACGGCCGGCAGAGGCCGAGGCAGGGGCAGGGGCAGGGGAGGCAAGCCAGCGACAGCAAUCAGUCCGCCCUCAACCCACGUAAAGGUGCCUACUGCUGUUUUGGCCAAAGGUAUCAAAACCUUGAAGGUCGUAAAGUUUAGUGCCGUAUAUGAAUCCUUGCCACUCCAUCUGGUUGCACCCGCGGUCCAUCGUGUUGUGGGAAAGCAAGCUACAAUCUUAAGGAUGAGAGGAGCGGCAUUGGACGAUAGCGGCAAAAGGUGCUUGGAGAUGGAAUUCCUGACAUAUCAAUCUGCCGCAAUGAUUCUGAAUCACUUCGUUAAAAUGACGGCAACAAAUCGAAUGUAUAUCCAACUAGAAUGGAGUGAUAGGAAUUUGGAUGACAUUGAAACUCCAACGGUUCCAAAUGUGUCCUACCAGGAGCCUAAACCGGAUUCAAAGACCGAGGAGCGGCUACCAGGAAUUGCUGGAUUCAACCGAUACUUCCCUUGGCAGUAAUCAAGAGCAUCGGUAUCACCCAUUUUUUUGGAGGCAAACCCUAUGUGGGAGAGAGAGCUUACAAACCGAGGGCUUUGAAUGUAAGGGAAUCCUGAAAAGCCAUGGAUUGGAGAAGACCAUGAGCAGUGGACAUGACCAUUUAAAGUCUCUUCUACGCGUCGAGGCCACCUAUCAUUUUGGAUGCAUGUAUGGUGAUCCAAGUGCGUUGCACUGGCGGCCGAUUUCGACCUGUCGCCUAUCUAUGGCUUGUCGUCUCGGUCAAAUACUAAACUGUUCAGUAUUUUGAUACUAGCUACCUCCAUCCAAAAAGAGUUCAUUUUUCAUUCGUGCACAAAAGUGAAUCCUUUUAGGACGGAGGUAGUACUAAACUUCAAGGCUAGGUGGUGCGGUGCGCCUUCUUCAGAGGUAGUAGUAUUAGUACCAUUAUCAUGUGGUGUUCCCCUGCGCCACCAUAUUUUUUUGCCGUCUGUUGGUCAACUCUGCCGCCCCCAAUCCCAUGUUAAGAACUUAAGACUACCCAAAAGGCUCUCGUGUUCAUCUAAAGAGAGCUCUCUUUUUAGCCUCAAUGCAACUUAUUUUUAAUUA
This is a long non-coding RNA of Oryza sativa Japonica Group (Japanese rice), 1441 nucleotides long. RefSeq lists it as uncharacterized. The record is from RefSeq and is a predicted model, not a curated record. Lineage: Eukaryota; Viridiplantae; Streptophyta; Magnoliopsida; Poales; Poaceae.